AAUAGAGCUCUUCUGACAUAGACUCAAUUUCCGCCGCGGCUUUAUCUUUGCAGAUCAAGAAUACACGAGAGGAAAAAAAAUACUAGUACUACUACUACGCGGUGACAAAAAAAGCUUAAAUAAACUCUCAAAAGUCUUACUCCUCUUGCCACUAAAAGACUACUGAUCUGUAUUCUUUAAUUCUCCGUGCUCAUUGGAGGAUUUUUUCGCUGAUUCUUUAGUACUCUUAUCAUUCCCAACAUAUUAUUGUUGAUGUUUUCUGCUUCUUGACAGAUUUUUUUUUGAGUUGUUGAAGUCGAUAAUCGUGGGAUUAUUAUUGCUAGUGUUGGAUGCAAUUAAUCCCAGAGCAUGAAGUUGGGAUGUUUGUCUCAGAUAUGGUGAUGUACUGAUUUUAUAUGUUUGUUCAUUUGGGUUCUUUCAAGAGGAGUGAACAAUUCUAAAGUUUCAAUCUUUGCUAUUGGUAAUAGUUAGCUGUUUUAGUUCGUUUAGCCGGAAUCUCGGAUAUAUAUUAAGAAAGGGUGAAAAUGGGAGAUGGGUAUUACUCGGUGGGAGAAUUCAGUUUGGACCCAAAAUGGUUGAUUGAUCCGAAGCUUCUUUUUGUUGGUCCGAAGAUUGGAGAAGGUGCUCAUGCCAAAGUCUACGAGGCAAAAUAUAAAAACCAGAAUGUUGCUAUCAAAGUUCACAAAGGGGAGACACCAGAGGAGAUUGCCAAGAGGGACGCCCGAUUUGCGAGAGAGGUUGCCAUGUUAUCUAGAGUCCAACAUAAGAACUUAGUGAAGUUUAUUGGAGCUUGCAAAGAGCCUGUCAUGGUGAUUGUAACUGAACUUCUUCUUGGUGGGACACUAAGGAAAUACUUGCUUGAUUUGCGCCCAAGAUGCUUGGAUACGCGCGUUGCAAUGGGGUUUGCACUUGAUAUAGCUCGUGCCAUGGAAUGUUUACACUCUCAUGGGAUCAUACAUCGCGAUUUAAAACCUGAAAACUUGCUCCUGACAGCGGAUCGUAAAACUGUUAAACUGGCUGAUUUUGGCUUGGCAAGAGAGGAGUCAUUGACAGAGAUGAUGACUGCUGAGACUGGAACUUAUCGCUGGAUGGCUCCAGAGCUUUACAGCACAGUCACAUUGAGGCAUGGAGAGAAAAAGCAUUAUAACCACAAGGUGGAUGCUUAUAGUUUUGCAAUUGUGCUUUGGGAACUUAUCCUCAACAAGUUGCCAUUCGAAGGAAUGUCAAAUCUGCAGGCAGCUUAUGCUGCAGCUUUCAAGAAUGUGAGGCCAAGUGCUGAUGAUCUUCCGGGGGAUUUGCCUUCAAUUGUGACUUCAUGUUGGGAAGAGGAUCCCAAUGCCCGGCCUAACUUCACUCAAAUAAUACAAAUGCUUCUGCAUUAUCUGUCAACAAUUUCACCACCAGAACCUGUCAUACCAGCCCGGAUUUUCACUUCUGAGAAUGCUAUCUUGCCACCAGAGUCUCCAGGCACUAGCUCCUUGAUGGCAAAAAGGGACGACGCUGGAGAAACCCCAAAGACCGCGAUGGAUGGCAAGCCAAGAGGUUUGUUCUUCUGUUUUGACCAGUGCUGCUAAUUUUGGGAGAUGGUGACGUUUUGGCUUGAAGCAGUACAAAGGCUUCAACUAUCCCAUCGACCGGAAAAGCCGAGAUAUGGAGUCGGGGUCGCUGUGAUGUGAUGUGAUGUGAUGUGAUGUGGUUGUAAAAUAAGGCAGGAGGGCAGCUUCCAAAGAGGUUUUUUAGCUACCGGGAACUUGAGCCUCGCCAUCAGCUGCUGCCUAUUGGAUUUUCUAGUGCUGCUUUCUCCAUCCUAUCAUAGUCCUAAACUAUUUUACGGCAACUUUUGUAAAUGAAUGUCGAACCUGUUCUUGUAAACAAAGUAUCCAGGAUGCUAAAAGAUUUUCAACAAAAUUGAUUGC
Molecule: RNA transcript, 1916 nt
Organism: Coffea eugenioides
Lineage: Eukaryota; Viridiplantae; Streptophyta; Magnoliopsida; Gentianales; Rubiaceae
Gene name: serine/threonine-protein kinase STY13-like
Exons: 8
Source: RefSeq, a predicted model, not a curated record